Molecule: ribosomal RNA, 1176 nt
Filed under: Triticum aestivum (bread wheat)
Lineage: Eukaryota; Viridiplantae; Streptophyta; Magnoliopsida; Poales; Poaceae
Description: partial small subunit ribosomal RNA
Source: RNAcentral
AUGGACAGCGCGAGAAGCUGCCUCGUGGACGACGUGAGCAGCGGCGCGUCCACGGGCAAGAAGGCGUCUCCGUCCCCGGCCGCGGCGGCGACCAAGCCGCUGCAGCGCGUGGGCAGCGGGGCCAGCGCGGUCAUGGAUGCGCCGGAGCCCGGCGCCGAGGCGGACUCCGGCCGCGUCGGCAAGCUGCCGUCGUCCAAGUACAAGGGCGUGGUGCCGCAGCCCAACGGGCGGUGGGGCGCGCAGAUCUACGAGCGCCACCAGCGCGUCUGGCUCGGCACGUUCACGGGGGAGGCCGAGGCUGCGCGCGCCUACGACGCGGCGGCGCAGCGCUUCCGCGGCCGCGAUGCAGUCACCAACUUCCGCCCGCUCGCCGAGUCCGACCGAGAGGACGCCGCCGAGCUCCGCUUCCUCGCCGCCCGCUCGAAGGCCGAGGUCGUCGACAUGCUGCGCAAGCACACCUACCCCGACGAGCUCGCUCAGUACAAGCACGCCUACUUCGCCGACGCUGCGGCGUCCUCCCCUACAUCGUCGUCGGUGCCUCCCGCCUCGUCGCCAUCUUCGGCGGCCGCGCCCUCGCCGGCGGCGCGGCGCGAGCACCUGUUCGACAAGACGGUCACGCCCAGCGACGUGGGGAAGCUGAACCGGCUGGUGAUACCGAAGCAACACGCCGAGAAGCACUUCCCUCUCCAGCUUCCUUCCGCCGGCGCCGCCGUGUCCGGCGAGUGCAAGGGCAUGCUGCUCAACUUCGACGACGCUGCCGGCAAGGUGUGGAGGUUCCGGUACUCAUACUGGAACAGCAGCCAGAGCUACGUGCUCACCAAGGGGUGGAGCCGCUUCGUCAAGGAGAAGGGCCUGCACGCCGGCGACGCCGUCGGGUUCUACCGCUCCGCCUCCGGGAACAACCAGCUCUUCAUCGAGUGCAAGCUGCGGUCCAAGACCAAGACCACGACGACGACGACCCUCACCAAGGCGACGGCGGCCACCCCGUCGCCGGCACCCGUGGUGAGGACCGUGCGUCUCUUCGGCGUCGACCUUCUCACCGCGCCGGCGCCGAGGCAUGCGCCCGAGCACGAGAACUACGGCAUGACCAAGAGAUCCAGGGACGCCGACGUAGCGGCGCCCACUCCGGUGCACGCGGUCUGGAAGAAGCGGUGCAUGGACUUCGCGCUGACCUAG